Picea glauca (white spruce) is the source of this 46-nucleotide non-coding RNA. The record is from Rfam. NCBI's taxonomy places the organism in Eukaryota, Viridiplantae, Streptophyta, Pinopsida, Pinales, Pinaceae.
GUAAAGGUGUCUUUAGACACCACCCUUUCUCUUCAAAUUUUUAUUU